This 1006-nucleotide ribosomal RNA is filed under the name Klebsiella pneumoniae. Its description in RNAcentral is "bacterial SSU rRNA". It matches the Rfam family "Bacterial small subunit ribosomal RNA", at positions 1 to 998 of the family's 1533-position model. Lineage: Bacteria; Pseudomonadati; Pseudomonadota; Gammaproteobacteria; Enterobacterales; Enterobacteriaceae. The record is from RNAcentral.
AAAUUGAAGAGUUUGAUCAUGGCUCAGAUUGAACGCUGGCGGCAGGCCUAACACAUGCAAGUCGAGCGGUAGCACAGAGAGCUUGCUCUCGGGUGACGAGCGGCGGACGGGUGAGUAAUGUCUGGGAAACUGCCUGAUGGAGGGGGAUAACUACUGGAAACGGUAGCUAAUACCGCAUAACGUCGCAAGACCAAAGUGGGGGACCUUCGGGCCUCAUGCCAUCAGAUGUGCCCAGAUGGGAUUAGCUAGUAGGUGGGGUAACGGCUCACCUAGGCGACGAUCCCUAGCUGGUCUGAGAGGAUGACCAGCCACACUGGAACUGAGACACGGUCCAGACUCCUACGGGAGGCAGCAGUGGGGAAUAUUGCACAAUGGGCGCAAGCCUGAUGCAGCCAUGCCGCGUGUGUGAAGAAGGCCUUCGGGUUGUAAAGCACUUUCAGCGGGGAGGAAGGCGGUGAGGUUAAUAACCUCGUCGAUUGACGUUACCCGCAGAAGAAGCACCGGCUAACUCCGUGCCAGCAGCCGCGGUAAUACGGAGGGUGCAAGCGUUAAUCGGAAUUACUGGGCGUAAAGCGCACGCAGGCGGUCUGUCAAGUCGGAUGUGAAAUCCCCGGGCUCAACCUGGGAACUGCAUUCGAAACUGGCAGGCUAGAGUCUUGUAGAGGGGGGUAGAAUUCCAGGUGUAGCGGUGAAAUGCGUAGAGAUCUGGAGGAAUACCGGUGGCGAAGGCGGCCCCCUGGACAAAGACUGACGCUCAGGUGCGAAAGCGUGGGGAGCAAACAGGAUUAGAUACCCUGGUAGUCCACGCCGUAAACGAUGUCGAUUUGGAGGUUGUGCCCUUGAGGCGUGGCUUCCGGAGCUAACGCGUUAAAUCGACCGCCUGGGGAGUACGGCCGCAAGGUUAAAACUCAAAUGAAUUGACGGGGGCCCGCACAAGCGGUGGAGCAUGUGGUUUAAUUCGAUGCAACGCGAAGAACCUUACCUGGUCUUGACAUCCACAGAACUU